Molecule: ribosomal RNA, 478 nt
Filed under: uncultured bacterium
Lineage: Bacteria
Description: partial 16S ribosomal RNA
Rfam family: Bacterial small subunit ribosomal RNA
Source: RNAcentral
GACGAACGCUGGCGGCGUGCUUAACACAUGCAAGUCGAACGGUAAGGCCCUUCGGGGUACACGAGUGGCGAACGGGUGAGUAACACGUGGGUGAUCUGCCCUGCACUUCGGGAUAAGCCUGGGAAACUGGGUCUAAUACCGGAUAGGACUCCGGACUGCAUGGUCUGGGGUGGAAAGCUUUUGCGGUGUGGGUUGGGCCCGCGGCCUAUGAGCUUGUCGGUGGGGUGAUGGCCUACCAAGGCGACGACGGGUAGCCGGCCUGAGAGGGUGACCGGCCACACUGGGACUGAGAUACGGCCCAGACUCCUACGGGAGGCAGCAGUGGGGAAUAUUGCACAAUGGGCGCAAGCCUGAUGCAGCGACGCCGCGUGAGGGAUGACGGCCUUCGGGUUGUAAACCUCUUUCAGCAUCGACGAAGCGAAAGUGACGGUAGGUGCAGAAGAAGGACCGGCCAACUACGUGCCAGCCGCCGCAGUAA